RNAcentral lists this ribosomal RNA (377 nucleotides) under uncultured bacterium. RNAcentral describes it as "bacterial SSU rRNA". It matches the Rfam family "Bacterial small subunit ribosomal RNA", at positions 521 to 896 of the family's 1533-position model. The record is from RNAcentral.
UAAUACGGGGGGAGCAAGCGUUGUUCGGAAUUACUGGGCGUAAAGGGUGUCUAGGCGGCCUUGUAAGUCGGGGGUGAAAUCCACUGGCUCAACCAGUGACGUGCCUUCGAAACUGCUAGGCUUGAGUAUGGCAGAGGAGAGCGGAAUUCCAGGUGUAGCGGUGAAAUGCGUAGAUAUCUGGAAGAACACCGGUGGCGUAGGCGGCUCUCUGGGCCAAUACUGACGCUGAAGCACGAAAGCCAGGGGAGCAAACGGGAUUAGAUACCCCGGUAGUCCUGGCCCUAAACGUUGGAUACUAGGUGUAGGAGGCAUCGACCCCUUCUGUGCCGCAGCUAACGCAUUAAGUAUCCCGCCUGGGGAGUACGACCGCAAGGUUG